GAUGAAGAACGUAGCGAACUGCGAUAAGUAAUGUGAAUUGCAGAAUUCAGUGAAUCAUCGAGUCUUUGAACGCACAUUGCGCCCCCUGGCAUUCCGGGGGGCAUGCCUGUCCGAGCGUCAUUGCUGCCCUUCAAGCCCGGCUUGUGUGUUGGGUCGUCGUCCCCCCCGGGGGACGGGCCCGAAAGGCAGCGGCGGCACCGCGUCCGGUCCUCGAGCGUAUGGGGCUUUGUCACCCGCUCGAUUAGGGCCGGCCGGGCGCCAGCCGGCGUCUCCAACCUUCUAUUUUACCAGGUUGACCUCGGAUCAGGUAGGGAUACCCGCUGAACUUAAGCAUAUCAAUAAGCGGAGGGA
RNAcentral lists this unclassified non-coding RNA (351 nucleotides) under soil metagenome. RNAcentral describes it as "partial contains 5.8S ribosomal RNA, internal transcribed spacer 2, and large subunit ribosomal RNA". The stretch from base 1 to 120 matches the Rfam family "5.8S ribosomal RNA", at positions 35 to 154 of the family's 154-position model. The record is from RNAcentral.